AAUAUUGCACAAUGGGGGAAACCCUGAUGCAGCGACGCCGCGUGAGUGAAGAAGUAUUNCGGUAUNUNAAGCUCUAUCAGCAGGGNCGAGAAUGACGGUACCUGACUAAGAAGCCCCGGCUAACUACGUGCCAUCAGCCGCGGUAAUACGUAGGGGGCAAGCGUUAUCCGGAUUUACUGGGUGUAAAGGGAGCGUAGGUGGAGAGUCAAGUCAGAUGUGAAAGCCCGGGGCUCAAACCCGGGAUUGCAGUUGAAACUGGUUUGCUAGAGAGCAGAAGAGGUAAGUGGAAUUCCUAGUGUAGCGGUGAAAUGCGUAGAUAUUAGGAGGAUCACCAGUGGCGAAGGCGGCUUACUGGACUGUAACUGACACUGAGGCUCGAAAGCGUGGGGAGCAAACA
Molecule: ribosomal RNA, 397 nt
Filed under: uncultured bacterium
Lineage: Bacteria
Description: partial 16S ribosomal RNA
Rfam family: Bacterial small subunit ribosomal RNA
Source: RNAcentral